RNAcentral lists this ribosomal RNA (274 nucleotides) under uncultured bacterium. RNAcentral describes it as "partial 16S ribosomal RNA". It matches the Rfam family "Archaeal small subunit ribosomal RNA", at positions 473 to 747 of the family's 1478-position model. The record is from RNAcentral.
AAACCAGCACCUCAAGUGGUCAGGAGGAUUAUUGGGCCGAAAGCAUCCGUAGCCUGUUCUAUAAGUUUCCGGUUAAAUCCAUUAGCUCAACUAAUGGGCUGCCGAAAAUACUGUAGAACUCGGGAGUGGGAGAGGUAGACGGUAUUCGGUAGGAAGGGGUAAAAUCCUUUGAUCUAUUGAGGACCACCUGUGGCGAAGGCGGUCUACCAGAACACGUUCGACGGUGAGGGAUGAAAGCUGGGGGAGCAAACCGGAUUAGAAACCCGAGUAGUCC